GUCCUUUUGAAUAUAAUUUUAGGUCUAACCUGCCCACUGAAUUUUUAAAUGGCCGCAGUAUUUUGACUGUGCAAAGGUAGCAUAAUCAUUAGUUUCUUAAUUAGAAGCUUGUAUGAAUGGUUGAACGAGAAACUUUCUGUCUCAAUUUAUAUAUUAGAAUUUUAUUUUUAAGUUAAAAAGCUUAAAUAAUUUUAAAAGACGAGAAGACCCUAUAGAGUUUUAUAAAUUAAAUAAUCUUUUUUUUAGAAUUUAACUCAUUAUUUAAUUUAUUUUGUUGGGGUGACAUAUAAAUUUAAUUAACUUUAUAUUAUAUAUAACAUAAAUAUAUGAAUAUUUGAUCCAUUAUUUAUGAUUAAAAGAAAAAAUUACCUUAGGGAUAACAGCGUAAUUUUUUUUUAGAGUUCAAAUCGAAAAAAAAGUUUGCGACCUCGAUGUUGGAUUAAAAUAAAUUUAUGGUGUAGAAGCUAUAAUAUUAGGUCUGUUCGACCUUUAAAAUUUUACAUGAUCUGAGUUUAAACCGGUGUAAGCCAGGUUGGUUUCUAUCUUUAAAUUAUUAUAAUAUUUUAGUACGAAAGGACCAAGUGUUAUUAAUAUUUAAUUUAUUAUGAAUA
Molecule: ribosomal RNA, 611 nt
Filed under: Hydraena sp. IBE RA321
Lineage: Eukaryota; Metazoa; Arthropoda; Insecta; Coleoptera; Hydraenidae
Description: partial 16S ribosomal RNA
Rfam family: Bacterial large subunit ribosomal RNA
Source: RNAcentral